Molecule: ribosomal RNA, 301 nt
Filed under: uncultured bacterium
Lineage: Bacteria
Description: partial 16S ribosomal RNA
Rfam family: Bacterial small subunit ribosomal RNA
Source: RNAcentral
CAGUCGCCGCGGGAAUACGGAGGGUGCAAGCGUUAAUCGGAAUUACUGGGCGUAAAGCGUGCGUAGGCGGUUCGUUAAGUCUGUUGUGAAAGCCCCGGGCUCAACCUGGGAAUGGCAAUGGAUACUGGCGAGCUAGAGUGUGUCAGAGGAUGGUGGAAUUCCCGGUGUAGCGGUGAAAUGCGUAGAGAUCGGGAGGAACAUCAGUGGCGAAGGCGGCCAUCUGGGACAACACUGACGCUGAGGCACGAAAGCGUGGGGAGCAAACAGGAUUAGAUACCCCCGUAGUCCCUGUCUCUUAUAC